AUCAGUUCAUGGUGUGAGGAGUCUAGAAGAAAAGAAAGUAACAAAAACGGUUGCUGACACAGCAUUUGGACUUAUUGUUAUGACCGGUAUGACCUCUUAUGAGUGCCGUUAUAUUAUUAACAGGAAAAUUGUUUUAAUUUUGGUUGAUCGAAUGUUUUAUAUCAGAUGUUGAUCUUUUAAAGAUAGGUGUAUAUUUUUGCUAUUAUUUCUAUGAAAGGGGAGGUACGGAUAAAGUACCAAACC
Molecule: long non-coding RNA, 243 nt
Organism: Bolinopsis microptera
Lineage: Eukaryota; Metazoa; Ctenophora; Tentaculata; Lobata; Bolinopsidae
Exons: 2
Source: RefSeq, a predicted model, not a curated record